Molecule: long non-coding RNA, 5143 nt
Organism: Gossypium arboreum
Lineage: Eukaryota; Viridiplantae; Streptophyta; Magnoliopsida; Malvales; Malvaceae
Exons: 3
Source: RefSeq, a predicted model, not a curated record
UUUUAUUAAAAGAAAAGGGUGAAAAGAACAAAGUUUUGUCCAUCUUUGUUCAUCAUAGCUGAAAGUUAGAGAAGAGAAAGGAGAGGAGAAAGCUCUUGAGUAUUUGGUCAUUAGGAGGAGGAAAAUUGAAGGCAGUUCGUGUGUGGAUCUCGUCAGCAUAUCGUCGCAAACAGGUGUGUAACUAACACCCUCUUUCUUAGUCUAGAUCGGCAAAAGCCGAAAUGCCGAAACCGGUAUUUUGUAGAUUUGCGAAAAAGAAUGCUCGUGAGGUAAAUCGAUUAAUGUUUUUGGUAAGCUGCAAUGUUUGGACUGCAAAGUGCAUGAUUUACGUGCUCGAUAUUUUUGGGCUUAAUGGGCCAAAAUUGGAAUGAUGGGCUAAUCGGCCCAAUUCGGUAAGAACCCUCGACGUGAUUCUCGUUAGUACGUGAAAGGUAGGAAUAUGCACGAAAAACCCUAAAAUAGAUAAAUUACUGAAAUACCUUUAAAAAUAGAAAAUUUACGCUUUACCCUAGUAGAUAAAUUACCAAAUACCCCUAGGUUAAAUUGACCUAAAUGCAUGUUUGAUCGUUGUUAUUUAUCGCAUGCCAUGUUGUUAUUAUCGAUGCAUGGACCGGAUAUUGACGGAGGAAGUACCGAAAGUGGCUUGUCCACAUCUUGGAGGCUUUGCCUCAAUUUAUCGUUAAUCGAGCAAGCAAGGUCGCAAGAAUCAGGAGUGUUAAUGGGUGGGUUGAGCUAUUCCCACAUGGAGUGUAUGGCUGGUACGGUGGAGUGUAGUGGUUGGUGGGUUGAGUAGUCUCCCAAAUAGGCUUGCAUAUGUUUACCGAUGUUGUAUGUAUUUUGAAAUGGGCCUAUGGGCCAUACCGUUAUCUCAAUAAGGGCUAAGGCCCAGUUUAUUGUAAUCUGAAAAGGGCUCUCGCCAGACCACUGUUACCCAAAUGGGCUUGCAUAUGUUUACCGAUGUUGCAUGUAUUUUGAAAUGGGCCUAUGGGCCAUAUUGUUAUCUCAAUAAGGGCUAAGGCCCGUUUAUUGUAAUCGAAAAGGCUCGCCCAAGAUCACUUUACUGAAUGGGCUUAGCCCAAUAGGCUUGAGUGACUUGGGCUUUGAAUGGGUUUUCCUUACACACGAGUUUCCCCAAACUCACCCCUUUUAUUUUCAUCCACACAGAAAUCCUCAACCAUAGUGGGCUUGGAGUCGUGAGGGAAUUGAGUGGCCACCCGUUCAGAAAGUUUGAUUUUCUUCUGGUGAACUGGACAUCCUUUUAAUUACGUUUGAGGUUUUGGGCUUUUAAAUGUAAUAAGGCCGCUUAUUUAUUUUUGAUGGUUUUUAUAUGUUUUAUUAAGAUAGAUAAUAUUUAUUUUAACUGUUGAAAUUGGAUAGCUUUAGGCUGCUUUUCAAAAACAACAGUUGAUUUCAAAAUAACACGACAACAAGCAAAGCUUCCAAUGAAAGUAUUUUCCCAAAUUAAUCACUUUUCCUAAAAUGACUUAAUCAAAUCGGUUUCCUAGAAAUAUCUAUGACGUUAAGGUGUGGCAAUGGCGGUAUGCAUGUCUAGGAUUGGAUCCGAAGGGAGCUUGGUACUUAAGCAGUCCGAUGGACUCACCACCUCUUUUCCGGUUUCCUACCUGGUGCACAGCUUCCUUUCACUUUAACCCUUAAUGAAUUAAUCUUUUGAACAUCAAGUACGAUUUUCGGACUUAGAAUGGAAAUUUUUUUACGCUUUGAUGUGGCAUGCGGAUCCCGCCAUAACUUCGGGCCGGGUUUGGGGUGCUACAUUUAGUGGUAUCGAGCCCGCCAUACAACAACUCGGUGUGGAAUGGGUUUACAAAACAAAGAUUUUCAAAACGAAAAUUUUAUAAAGAAUGCGAAAAACUCGAUUUUCAAAAUUUAGAUCUUUAGAAGGUGGCAUUCAAUCUCCUACCAAGUCUGUAAGUAUUACUCGAACUUUUCAAUAUUUUUCGACUUAUCUGUCAUCUUCAAAUCCUGCUAGGAUACUCUAGAUAGGAUGAUACUGAAACCAUAGGAAAAUCGAUAAGAGAUCAAAUCGUAGCUAGACUUCGAUUCUGCGAAAACAAACUCGAACUAUCAUUCGAUUCAUAAAACAUCGUAAUAAACACUGGAAUAUUAAUUGAUGCAUAAAAAUUCGUAAUCAAGAUAAUACGAUAUGAGUACAAGAGGCCGUGGACGGAGCCGAGAAAGUGCUCGAGCGAGAUCUUCGUCUUCGAGACAUAUACCGGCGGUGGAUGCACCGGUACCACCGGCAACAGAGGUAGAGUCUCAUGACCGCGGUGCCGAGGAUGAUGCCCUGUCACAGGCAAUGCUUCGUGUUCUAGAAAGGGUUGCUGGAGCAAGUUCGGCAAUGAAAUUCAGGGAUCUAUUUCUAAAUGACUUCGGACUAACGGAACGGAGAUCUUUAAGGCGUGUCGGUAUAGCCCGAAUGUGGCGUAAUAUUGGUUAGAGGCCACGAACAAUUAUCGACGACUUGAACCGCUCCGAGGAGAUUGUGAGUGGGGUAUCUGUACUAAGUCCUUGGGUCACUUUGGUUAGGGUAGACAAAUCAGAUAGGAAUGUACCCUUAGAAACUCAAGGUAAGAUUUUCCUGAGAUCUAAUGGAGUUACCAUUCGAGAGUUUGAUCUCAUUUUGGGAAUGGACUGGCUUGUUAAGCAUAAAGCGACUCUGGAUUGUGCUGCUAAACGAAUGGUGUUAAGAACUACAAAGGAUGAGGAGGUUAUGGUGAUAGGUGGGAGAAGGGAUUAUUUGUCCAAUGUGGUGUCGGCAUUAAGGGCCGAAAAGUGGAUUCGGAAAGGUUGUGAGGUCUAUUUGGUAUUUGUAAGUCAGUCGAAAGAGAAGGGACUGACAGUGGAUAAGGUUAGGAUCGUAAAGGAGUUCUAAGAUAUUUUUCUGGAGGAGCUUCCAGGAUUGCCUCCGAACCGAGAAGUUGAGUUUGGAAUAGACUUGUUGCCUGGAAUGACGCCUGUGUCUAUCGCACCGUAUAGGAUGGCACCGAAGGAGUUAGUAGAGUUAAAUGCUCAAAUUCAAGAGUUGUUGGAUAGAGGCUUUAUUAGGCCAAGCGUGUCUCCAUGGGGAGCACCAGUGCUAUUCGUGAAAAAGAAGGAUGGUACGAUGCGAUGUGCAUUGAUUAUCGCCAGUUGAACAAACUGACGAUUAAGAAUAAGUAUCCACUGCCAAUGAUUGACGAUCUAUUCGACCAGCUUAGAGGAGCUUCUGUAUUUUCCAAGAUCGACCUUCGAUCUGGAUAUCAUCAGUUAAGGGUCAAGGAGGCGAUAUCCAAAAGACGACAUUCGUGACUCGGUAUGGUCAUUACGAGUUUCGGUUAUGCCAUUUGGACUAACGAACGCCUCAGAAGCGCUUACGGAUCUGAUGAAUCGUGUGUUCCAACCAUUUUGGAUCAGUUCAUAGUCGUCUUUAUUGACGAUAUCCCGGUAUAUUCAAACCAAACGAAACAUGAUGAGCAUCUCCGUAUAGUCUUUGUAAGUAUUAAGGAGAAGGAACUCUUUGCGAAGUUCAGCAAGUGUGAAUUUUGGUUGAGGGAGGUAACCUUCUUAGGACAUGUGGUCUCUGUUGAGGGGAUUAAGGUGGACUCUCAGAAAAUUAAAGCGAUUUUGGAGUGGAAGCCGUCUAGGUCAGUGUCGGAAAUACGGAGUUUCCUAGGACUGACAGGAUACUACAGAACGUUUGUGGAAGGUUUUUCUGUGAUAGCAGCACCUCUGACAAAACACAUAAGGAAAGGAGUACCAUUUGUAUGGACUAAGAAACAACAGGAAGCUUUUGAGAAGUUGAAGAAAGUUCUAACUGAAGCACUUGUGUUAAUUCAGCCGGAGUCUGGGAAUGAUUUUACUAUGUAUAGUGACGCAUCACACGUGGGUUUGGGCUGCGUGUUAAUGCAAGAGGGCAAGGUGGUUGCAUGUGCAUCACGAUAGCUUAAGCCUCAUGAGGGAAACUAUUUGACUCAUGAUUUAGAGUUGGCAGCAGUGAUAUUUGCACUUAAGAUUUGGAGACAUUACUUGUACGGAGAAAGGUGUAUUAUAUACACUGACCAUAAGAGUCUUAAGUAUUUGUUGACUCAGAAGGAGCUGAACCUUAGGCAAAGGAGAUGGAUUGAGUUGCUUAAAGAUUAUGACUGUUCGAUCGAGUAUCACCCAAGCAAGGCUAAUGUGGUAGCCGAUGCUCUAAGUCGUAGAGCUGUAUCUGAUCUGAGAGCAAUGUUUGCUCGUCUGAGUCUGUAUGAUAAUUGGCAGUUUGUUGGCUGAAUUGCAAGUGAAGCCAACCUGGGUGGACCAGAUUAAGGAAAAGCAGUUGGAAGAUGAGUCUUUGGUCGCUCGUUUUCAACAAGUUAAGGAAGGGGAAACUUCUGAGUUUGGGAGCCAGAAGAGACGAUGCAACAGCAAUACCCUCAUCUGUUUGGAUUAGGUAAAUUUCGAGGACGAAAUUUCUUUAAGGAGGGUAGAGUUGUAACGCCCCAAUUUUCUGGAAUUCUGCGAAUGUUGGCAAAAUUUCAUGCUUUGAUUUUGUCAUUUGUGAGUGAAAUUAUGAAAUAGGACCUAUGUGAAAAUGUUUGAAAAUGCUAUAGGUUAAAUUGAAGUGGCCAAAUAAAUAGGAGUGCAAAAUAGGAGGAUUUGCAUGACAAACCUCCCAUUUUACAUGAAGUGGCUAGCCAUCAUGUUGUUGUAGACAAAAUGUACACUUGAUAUCCAUAAUUUAUGGUACAAAUUGAUACAAAUUGAUAAUAGGUUAGGUAAAUGUUCCAUGAUAAUGGGUUAGGUAAAUGUUUCAUGAUAAUAGGUUAGGUAAAUGUUCCAUGAUAAUGGGUUAGGUAAAUGUUUCAUGAUAAUGGGUUAGGUAAAUGUUUCAUGAUAAGAAUAUCAUGUCUUUUGUAUUAAAGAAUUAAAUGGAUGAAAUAUGAAGUUUUAUUAAAAGAAAAAGGGGUGAAAAGAACAAAGUUUUGUCCAUCUUUGUUCAUCAUAGCUGAAAGUUAGAGAAGAGAAAUGAGAGGAGAAAGCUCUUGAGUAUUUGGUCAUUAGGAGGAGGAAAAUUGAAGGUGUGGUUGGCCGAAUAUUGUAAGGGGUUAAUACGUAGUUCGUAUUUGAACAGUUAGAUUAAUGUGUUAGUAAUCCAAUUGUAGGC